GUACUCACUUCAGUAGUACAUAUGCAAAAAUUGGAACAAUACAGAUAUUGUUAGCCUGGGCCCUGCCCAAGGGUAAUGUAAAUGUUUGUGAAGUAAUCCAUGUUAUG
This 107-nucleotide small nuclear RNA is filed under the name Chinchilla lanigera (long-tailed chinchilla). The record is from RNAcentral. Lineage: Eukaryota; Metazoa; Chordata; Mammalia; Rodentia; Chinchillidae.